CUUGCCUACGGAGGCAGCAGUGGGGGAUAUUGCACAAUGGGGGCAACCCUGAUGCAGCGACGCCGCGUGAGCGAUGGAGUACUUCGGUAUGUAAAGCUCUGUCAGCAGGGAAGAGAAUGACGGUACCUGACCAAGAAGCCCCGGCUAAAUACGUGCCAGCAGCCGCGGUAAUACGUAUGGGGCAAGCGUUAUCCGGAUUUACUGGGUGUAAAGGGAGCGUAGGUGGCAGGGCAAGUCAGAUGUGAAAACCCGGGGCUCAACUCCGGGAGUGCAUUUGAAACUGUCCAGCUAGAGUGCAGGAGAGG
RNAcentral lists this ribosomal RNA (305 nucleotides) under uncultured bacterium. Its description in RNAcentral is "bacterial SSU rRNA". It matches the Rfam family "Bacterial small subunit ribosomal RNA", at positions 334 to 657 of the family's 1533-position model. The record is from RNAcentral.